GAUGAAGAACGCAGUGAAAUGCGAUAAGUAAUGUGAAUUGCAGAAUUCAGUGAAUCAUCGAAUCUUUGAACGCACAUUGCGCCCUCUGGUAUUCCGGGGGGCAUGCCUGUUCGAGCGUCAUUAUAACCACUCAAGCUUUCGCUUGGUAUUGGGGCUCGCGGUUCCGCGGCCCCUAAAAUCAGUGGCGGUGCCUGUCGGCUCUACGCGUAGUAAUACUCCUCGCGAUUGAGUCCGGUAGGUCUACUUGCCAGCAACCCCCAAUUUUUACAGGUUGACCUCGGAUCAGGUAGGGAUACCCGCUGAACUUAAGCAUAUCAAUAAGCGGAGGA
Molecule: unclassified non-coding RNA, 329 nt
Filed under: soil metagenome
Description: partial contains 5.8S ribosomal RNA, internal transcribed spacer 2, and large subunit ribosomal RNA
Rfam family: 5.8S ribosomal RNA (bases 1-120)
Source: RNAcentral